GCCAGCAUGGCUUAGUGGUUUGAGUGUUGGACUACAACUCUGGAGACCAGGGUUUAAAUCCUGCUCAGCCA
Molecule: non-coding RNA, 71 nt
Organism: Phrynosoma platyrhinos (Desert horned lizard)
Lineage: Eukaryota; Metazoa; Chordata; Lepidosauria; Squamata; Phrynosomatidae
Source: the annotation of a GenBank genome assembly